RNAcentral lists this ribosomal RNA (1267 nucleotides) under Salmonella enterica subsp. enterica serovar Livingstone. Its description in RNAcentral is "partial 23S ribosomal RNA". It matches the Rfam family "Bacterial large subunit ribosomal RNA", at positions 1 to 1208 of the family's 2925-position model. The record is from RNAcentral. Lineage: Bacteria; Pseudomonadati; Pseudomonadota; Gammaproteobacteria; Enterobacterales; Enterobacteriaceae.
GGUUAAGCGACUAAGCGUACACGGUGGAUGCCCUGGCAGUCAGAGGCGAUGAAGGGCGUGCUAAUCUGCGAUAAGCGCCGGUAAGGUGAUAUGAACCGUUAUAACCGGCGAUACCCGAAUGGGGAAACCCAGUGUGACUCGUCACACUAUCAUUAACUGAAUCCAUAGGUUAAUGAGGCGAACCGGGGGAACUGAAACAUCUAAGUACCCCGAGGAAAAGAAAUCAACCGAGAUUCCCCCAGUAGCGGCGAGCGAACGGGGAGGAGCCCAGAGCCUGAAUCAGCAUGUGUGUUAGUGGAAGCGUCUGGAAAGGCGCGCGAUACAGGGUGACAGCCCCGUACACAAAAGCGCAUGUGCUGUGAGCUCAAUGAGUAGGGCGGGACACGUGGUAUCCUGUCUGAAUAUGGGGGGACCAUCCUCCAAGGCUAAAUACUCCUGACUGACCGAUAGUGAACCAGUACCGUGAGGGAAAGGCGAAAAGAACCCCGGCGAGGGGAGUGAAAAAGAACCUGAAACCGUGUACGUACAAGCAGUGGGAGCCCCACCACUAAGCCAGUGGUGAACUCCACAUACGCAUCCUUUGCUGAGGAUACGGUUAAGGGAGCGAAAGCGACGUUCAACCGCAAAAGAAGCAGAGGGGGCUUAGUGGUGGGGUGACUGCGUACCUUUUGUAUAAUGGGUCAGCGACUUAUAUUCUGUAGCAAGGUUAACCGUAUAGGGGAGCCGUAGGGAAACCGAGUCUUAACCGGGCGUUAAGUUGCAGGGUAUAGACCCGAAACCCGGUGAUCUAGCCAUGGGCAGGUUGAAGGUUGGGUAACACUAACUGGAGGACCGAACCGACUAAUGUUGAAAAAUUAGCGGAUGACCUGUGGCUGGGGGUGAAAGGCCAAUCAAACCGGGAGAUAGCUGGUUCUCCCCGAAAGCUAUUUAGGUAGCGCCUCGUGAACUCAUCUCCGGGGGUAGAGCACUGUUUCGGCUAGGGGGUCAUCCCGACUUACCAACCCGAUGCAAACUGCGAAUACCGGAGAAUGUUAUCACGGGAGACACACGGCGGGUGCUAACGUCCGUCGUGAAGAGGGAAACAACCCAGACCGCCAGCUAAGGUCCCAAAGUCAUGGUUAAGUGGGAAACGAUGUGGGAAGGCCCAGACAGCCAGGAUGUUGGCUUAGAAGCAGCCAUCAUUUAAAGAAAGCGUAAUAGCUCACUGGUCGAGUCGGCCUGCGCGGAAGAUGUAACGGGGCUAAACCAUGCACCGAAGCUGCGGCAG